Molecule: transfer RNA, 77 nt
Filed under: Verrucomicrobia bacterium TMED175
Lineage: Bacteria; Pseudomonadati; Verrucomicrobiota
Also listed under: 4 other names
Description: tRNA-Arg
Rfam family: tRNA
About the family: Transfer RNA (tRNA) molecules are approximately 80 nucleotides in length. Their secondary structure includes four short double-helical elements and three loops (D, anti-codon, and T loops).
Source: RNAcentral
GCACCCGUAGCUCAAUUGGAUAGAGCGCCUGACUACGGAUCAGGAGGUUGGGAGUUCGACUCUCUCCGGGUGUGCCA